GAUGAACGCUGGCGGCGUGCUUAACGCAUGCAAGUCGAACGGAAAGGCUCCUGCUUGCAGGGGUACUCGAGUGGCGAACGGGUGAGUAACACGUGGGUGAUCUGCCCUGCACUUCGGGAUAAGCCUGGGAAACUGGGUCUAAUACCGGAUAGGACGAUGGUUUGGAUGCCAUUGUGGAAAGUUUUUUCGGUGUGGGAUGAGCUCGCGGCCUAUCAGCUUGUUGGUGGGGUAAUGGCCUACCAAGGCGUCGACGGGUAGCCGGCCUGAGAGGGUGUACGGCCACAUGGGGACUGAGAUACGGCCCAGACUCCUACGGGAGGCAGCAGUGGGGAAUAUUGCACAAUGGGCGCAAGCCUGAGGCAGCGACGCCGCGUGGGGAUGACGGCCUUCGGGUUGUAAACUCCUUUCGCUAGGGACGAAGCGCAAGUGACGGUACCUGGAGAAGAAGCACCGGCUAACUACGUG
Molecule: ribosomal RNA, 465 nt
Filed under: uncultured bacterium
Lineage: Bacteria
Description: partial 16S ribosomal RNA
Rfam family: Bacterial small subunit ribosomal RNA
Source: RNAcentral